GCUUGUCUCAAAGAUUAAGCCAUGCAUGUCUAAGUAUAAGCCUUUAUAUGGUGAGACUGCGAAUGGCUCAUUAAAUCAGAAACUGUUUAUUUGAUAGUGCCUACUACAUGGAUACCUGUAGUAAUUCUAGAGCUAAUACAUGCAAAAAGCCUGGACUUCUGGAACAGGCGUAUUUAUUAGAUAUACAAACCAACCGCUUCGGCGACCCUUGGUGAUUCAUAAUAACUCGCGGAUCGGUUUACCGAUGCAUCAUUCAAGUUUCUGCCCUAUCAGCUUUGGAUGGUAGGGUAUUGGCCUACCAUGGCUUUAACGGGUAACGGAGAAUUAGGGUUCGAUUCCGGAGAGGGAGCCUGAGAAAUGGCUACCACAUCCAAGGAAGGCAGCAGG
Molecule: ribosomal RNA, 387 nt
Filed under: uncultured Telonemia
Lineage: Eukaryota; Telonemia
Description: partial small subunit ribosomal RNA
Rfam family: Eukaryotic small subunit ribosomal RNA
Source: RNAcentral